Molecule: long non-coding RNA, 414 nt
Organism: Temnothorax curvispinosus
Lineage: Eukaryota; Metazoa; Arthropoda; Insecta; Hymenoptera; Formicidae
Exons: 3
Source: RefSeq, a predicted model, not a curated record
UGCACUUUAACGCAUGCGACGCUUUGAGCAUUGCUUGUAAGUUCAUGUUCAAAUAUGCAUCGUUGCAUUCAUAAGUGCUAUUUCAAGAAGGUUCAGCCUCAACAGUCGAAGUGAGUCUUAUACGAUUGUACUAAUUCACCGAAUAUAUAUAUCAUUGUGUAUUUUUAUUGCUUGUCGGAGAAUCAUUAAUCGAGUUUGUCAUUUAAACUGUGAAUACAGUUUAAAUUGCGUUUAAAUAGAAACAUGAUAACUUUAAACGUUGUCAAAUAUUUCAACGGACCAUGGAGGAGCAUUCUCGGAAAUAGAUUAUCAGGAAAUAUCGUAUGUGUCAAUAAAACCAGACCAAUGUCGACGAUAGAUUCUAAGGCAGUUGAAUAUCAUUCUGGUAUGAAAAACAUUUGGUGGGACGAGAAU